Molecule: long non-coding RNA, 1319 nt
Organism: Cercocebus atys (sooty mangabey)
Lineage: Eukaryota; Metazoa; Chordata; Mammalia; Primates; Cercopithecidae
Exons: 2
Source: RefSeq, a predicted model, not a curated record
GCCUGACCCCGACUCCCCGCGCCCCGGGUGUCCCAAUGCCCAACACUCCAUGCCCACAACUUUAUCGCGUUAGUCUGGGCCAGGCCUGAGGUGGGGGGAUUCCUAUCAGGGGCGCCCCUUCUGAGCCGUUAGCUGAGCUGUAGCCAGCCGGGCCUUUCCUGCAUUUCGCAAGCUGCGUUACAUAAGGGCCCUCAACUGCAGCGAGCAGGGGCCUCUUGGCUGAACUCCCCUCCCCACCAAAGCUGAGGGAAAGAGAUUUGUGAGGCUUAAAGUCAUCAGUGGGGUCAUUCGCGCUGUUCCCCACCCACCCCAUCUGGAAGAGCUGGCCAUGGGCCUCCUGUCUGGAUGAAAGUAGACCCGGUGGGCAGGUAAAUCCCUAAACCCAUGCCUGUUUUUCUCUGAAAGGAUCCAAAUUUUCUCCUUGCCUAUUCUUGCCUCCAAGCCCAGGAUGCACAAAGCUACCAGAUAUCAACUGGUUGUCAUCUUCCACUCCUGCUGCAGCUAAGACCCACCCCAGCCUUAACUGGCAUCGUCUCUCAGACAGCCCUGGUCCUAACACAUUGUUAGGUGGGCCCUUGUCAGCAUUUUGAUGAGCAGUGUUGAUCUCGGAGGGUUGACCUUCCUGCCCCUCUCUCAGCUGGGAGGAGCAGACUCAGAAGACUGGAGCAGUAAGAAUACAGUCUUGACUGUGUUUACUUUGGGGGAUUCCAGGAAAUGCUGCAACAAAAGGUCCUGCAGGCCAAAAAAGAAAGCUUACCCUCCAGAGAUAAGGGGAUCAAAGGGAACCUUCCCAGGCCUGCUGGCCCAAGGACCAGCUCCCCCGCCUCCUCCCUCCUUCUCUGCUGGACGCACCCUCUCUGGUCCAUUGUCCACUUUUGUCUGCUUUUCCUGCCUGAAAAGGAGGAAGUGAGCCUGGGCCCAGCCAGCACUCUGCCCUCUGCAGCUGCCUUUCAGCUCAGCUUUCCUAGAAGGGCUUUGACAGAUAGAAGAGGACUUGUGGAAACAGGCCCAAGCCGACUCAAAGAUGAGAUUAGAGAACGGCUCUCGCUUCCCGGACCAGAAGGGAGUUACUGAAGGUCAUCUCAUCCAUCCCCCUGCCUCCAUACACAGCUGGGUCGUCUGAGCAUAGGCUGUUCUGCAGACACUACCAAUGUCACCAUAGGGGGCAGGUAUCUUAUCUUUCCCCUUUUCCACACCCUCUCACUACUAUUGCCUCCUCCACAUAGCCCCAGGGCAACCAUUUUAAAAGCCCAAUUUGAUCCUACCUAAAAUCUUUCAAUGGCUCCUAAUCAACUAAUAAUUAAUACAGUUCAGAAUCU